CAAUAGCGUAUAUUAAUGUUGUUGCAGUUAAAAAGCUCGUAGUUGGAUAUCUGGCCUUUGCGUUGAAGACCCGCCCUCUUUUGGGAUGAGCGUUGGAGACGUGGGUCUAUUUUCCGGUUGGUGUCCAUUCCACUUUAUUGGGGCGUGGUUCACGAUCCGGAUCGUUUACUUUGAAAAAAUUCGAGUGUUCAUAGCAGGCUUACGCCGUGAAGAUCGCAGCAUGGAAUAAUAACAUAGGACUUGGCGUUCUAUUUUGUUGGUUCUGGAACCUAAGUAAUGAUUGAUAGGGACAGUUGGGGGUGCUGCUAUAGACUGGCCAGAGGUGAAAUUCUAAGACUCAGUCUAGAGCAACUUAUGCGAAAGCAUUCACCAAGGAUGUCUUCUUUAA
RNAcentral lists this ribosomal RNA (388 nucleotides) under uncultured eukaryote. RNAcentral's name for it is "partial 18S ribosomal RNA". It matches the Rfam family "Eukaryotic small subunit ribosomal RNA", at positions 592 to 976 of the family's 1831-position model. The record is from RNAcentral.